This 510-nucleotide ribosomal RNA is filed under the name Triticum aestivum (bread wheat). RNAcentral's name for it is "partial small subunit ribosomal RNA". The record is from RNAcentral. Lineage: Eukaryota; Viridiplantae; Streptophyta; Magnoliopsida; Poales; Poaceae.
AUGGAUUCUGUCAAUGUUACAAGCACGAAGCGUGCACCCAGAGCUCCUAUAAAGUUUUGCUCCCCUGUGCAGCAGCUUCACCCUCAUAAUUUCCCUCACCUGGACAAGGCUCGCAAGUUGUACAAUCUAUUGCUUAGUGACGAAUGGCGUGAGAAGUAUGCCGAGAAUGUGUUCUCAAUGAUACAUCAGCCUGAUGAAAGCGUAACUAGCUUCACUGGGAAACGCAUCUGGGAAGUUUUUUCACCUGGGCAAAUGAUGGAGGGUGAUAUAAUGGACUUCUUCAUUGCUGAUUGGAAGCAAGAUCCCGAGAGAAAUGCUGAUUUCGCAUCUGGAAAAAGGGUAUUGCUGAGUCCAUAUUUCAUCACGGUUGUGCUUGACUGUACGUUUUAUGGUGGUGAAGAUAAAGAGUUUAAUGUGGAGAGUGCAGCGAGAGAUUUCAAGAGCUAUGUUAAAGAUAAGGAAGACUUGCUCAGUGCCGACCUUAUUUCUAGAUUGGUCCAAGUAAUUUAG